AAAAUGCAUCUUUGCGUUUCUGCUGUUCAAAACGCAAACACUUUUUCAAUCUUAGAAAUAUUACAUUUAAGCCCAAAUUCUUUAUGGAUUGAAGAAAUAGAAAGGAAAGAAUCAAAGAAGAAGAAGAAGCCAGCGUCUGCCUAGUGAAGAAGAAGAAGGUAUAGCAGGCAGAAAUUGCGAAGAAGAAAAUAGCCAAGAAAUAAUGAGCAACGUUAAGCUCUGAUC
This 225-nucleotide long non-coding RNA is filed under the name Salvia miltiorrhiza (redroot sage). RNAcentral's name for it is "long non-coding RNA (SMIL_LNC009568)". The record is from RNAcentral. Lineage: Eukaryota; Viridiplantae; Streptophyta; Magnoliopsida; Lamiales; Lamiaceae.